GAUGAAGAACGCAGCGAAAUGCGAUAAGUAAUGUGAAUUGCAGAAUUCAGUGAAUCAUCGAAUCUUUGAACGCACAUUGCGCCCCCUGGUAUUCCGGGGGGCAUGCCUGUUCGAGCGUCAUUACAACCCUCAAGCUCUGCUUGGUGUUGGGCCCCGCCGCCCCGGCGGGCCCUAAAAUCAGUGGCGGUGCCGUCCGGCUCCGAGCGUAGUAAUUCUUCUCGCUCUGGAGGUCCGGGUGUGUGCUCGCCAGCAACCCCCAAUUUUUUUCAGGUUGACCUCGGAUCAGGUAGGGAUACCCGCUGAACUUAGGCAUAUCAAUAAGCGGAGGA
RNAcentral lists this unclassified non-coding RNA (329 nucleotides) under soil metagenome. Its description in RNAcentral is "partial contains 5.8S ribosomal RNA, internal transcribed spacer 2, and large subunit ribosomal RNA". The stretch from base 1 to 120 matches the Rfam family "5.8S ribosomal RNA", at positions 35 to 154 of the family's 154-position model. The record is from RNAcentral.